Molecule: long non-coding RNA, 1773 nt
Organism: Erpetoichthys calabaricus (reedfish)
Lineage: Eukaryota; Metazoa; Chordata; Cladistia; Polypteriformes; Polypteridae
Exons: 3
Source: RefSeq, a predicted model, not a curated record
GGCUGGUGGAGGGGGAAGGCUGAUUAUCAGUGGUUGUGCAACGUUUCAGGACGCAUAACGGCUGCACCCCAAGCACAAGGUAUGAAACUGCUAAUUCUUACUCCAAAUGGUAGAUUGGGAUGGGGGGUGUUUGCCAGUGAAGAGCUUAAUUUCUGACACCUCGAAUGAGCGUUGCUUUGCCAACAUUUGAUUUAAAUUAUCUAUCUGAGGCAUGUUUGAACGCAACUUUAACUUGCGCUCCGCGUCCCUUUCUCACUGUUAACCUUAGCCUUUCAUUUUUUUAGGUGUUGGACUAAGUUUGGAAGUUUGAAGCUUCGUUUGGCUUGGGUCACCUGUAUGGAGAGAUGCCAAUUGGAAACCACUUGUUUUGUGGUCUGAUGAUCUUCUUUCACCAUGUUUCAGUCUGCCAGGUUCAAUUAUGGAACAAUUUUUGUUAAAUGCUUUUUUGAGGAUUCCUAAUAGUAUGGGCACAUAACUUGCAACAGCCAUUUGAUAUCUCCAAUACCUGCUCUGUAUAGUGGUUUGAGGGGCACGGAAUCUAAGGCCAUUUUACAUGUACAGCUGCAUUCCUUGUUUGCUCAUGAUGUUCUCUUAUUCCAGAGUAAUGCCCCCUUACACACUUCAACAUAAUUCAAUAAAUACCAGGCAUGAACUCAAAUGCCUCAUGGGACCACUUCUUACCAGUUUCAAGCAUCAUUGAACCUUUAUAGACAGUCUAGUUAUUAGGUUAUCAAUGUCAAUCUUGUUAGGUAUAUCCACUAAUUUAUUCACCACUUCUGUAUGUCUUGCCACCACUGGAAAUUCUGUGGAUUGCAGGAACUCCAAAAAUGCAACAUCCAUAAAUUUGCAUCUACAGAACAGUACAAUCCAGUACAUUGCCAUUAAAGAUUGAAUAAACCGUGAACAGUUCAAAAUGUUAAAGGUGGUCUUCUUAAUCAUUCUUUUACUGUAAUUACCAUUUUCCUGCUGAAUAAUGUAUAUUAAUUUUCAUAGCUCUGCAUAUGAAAGUGGAUGGUGCUUACCACUAAUUCCUCACACUGCCAGAGACACUGGCUCCUCCUUCCCUUCCCUGCUUGGGUUUUCCUGUGAGAUCCUCAAGAUAUGUCUUAUUUAUUUGGCCAAUCUUGGUCCUGUGCUGCAUUGUGCGGUCAUUCAUUUAACUUAACAUGGCUAUGCAGAACUAAUGCAAUUUCUAUAUGUAAAGUCAUUAUAAAAGCAAUUGAUUCAAGUUACCUAAUCAAGUUAAGUUUUAAUUAAUAAAGUGUUCUAUAAGAAUGGCAGGUGCUACCAUAAUACACUGUUAAAAAAGAAAUCACACAAACUCUUUCAAAAUAAUAACGCCUUUAUUUCAGCUUCGAAAAUCAGUUUUUGAAAUCUUCAAAAAAAUUCGAAAUAUCCUUAGAAAUACACAAAAAGAAACAUACAAAAUGACCACAAUGACUGCACCGCUCUGAUUCAUUAGUAUUUCCAGUCUAAGUGAGAGGUGAGGAAUAAUCAAGCUCUUACGAAUAUUAGCCGUGUAUCUUAACUAGAUUCCCAAAUAUUACAGCAACAUUAUAUUUUAACAAUCUAUGCAAUAGCCAAACUCCAACCAUGCUUCUCAAGUAAAUGAGAUUUGCAAAAUUUGAAUCACUCACAAACCAAAUUUUUUUAGUGGGGUUUCUUAUCUGUUCUUUUUUUCCUGCACAUCUUUUUUUUGGCUAACAUUUAUCAAACUGUACAAAAAUGUUUAAAAGCAAUCUACUGUACCAAAAAAGUAAAUAAAAAACUAUU